GAUGAACGCUGGCGGCGUGCCUAAUACAUGCAAGUCGAGCGAACGGACGAGAAGCUUGCUUCUCUGAUGUUAGCGGCGGACGGGUGAGUAACACGUGGAUAACCUACCUAUAAGACUGGGAUAACUUCGGGAAACCGGAGCUAAUACCGGAUAAUAUAUUGAACCGCAUGGUUCAAUAGUGAAAGACGGUCUUGCUGUCACUUAUAGAUGGAUCCGCGCUGCAUUAGCUAGUUGGUAAGGUAACGGCUUACCAAGGCAACGAUGCAUAGCCGACCUGAGAGGGUGAUCGGCCACACUGGAACUGAGACACGGUCCAGACUCCUACGGGAGGCAGCAGUAGGGAAUCUUCCGCAAAGGGCGAAAGCCUGACGGAGCAACGCCGCGUGAGUGAUGAAGGUCUUCGGAUCGUAAAACUCUGUUAUUAGGGAAGAACAUAUGUGUAAGUAACUGUGCACAUCUUGACGGUACCUAAUCAGAAAGCCACGGCUAACUACGUG
RNAcentral lists this ribosomal RNA (497 nucleotides) under uncultured bacterium. RNAcentral describes it as "partial 16S ribosomal RNA". It matches the Rfam family "Bacterial small subunit ribosomal RNA", at positions 28 to 507 of the family's 1533-position model. The record is from RNAcentral.